GUUCUGUCCUGAAUUUGGGCAGGUUUUCUGUUUCACCCCCAGAAGCUCCAAGAUUUGUCUGUGUUGGGGGUGUUCACGGGUGUUAAGAGCUGGGACUUUUGUUUUCACCCCUGACCUCUCCCUGAGCUUCCCUCCCACCCACGGGUCACUGUCUCCAUCGGCUCGGCGGGGGUCACAACCCGAUAGUGGGCUGCAUCUGAGCUGGCCGCGGCCCACAGCCUGUCUUUCCUCUCACGGUCCUCUGCGGUCGCUGCUCCAGUGGGAGGGAAGUCAGGGGCAGCGAAAGGCCACGUCCUCCCAGCUCCAUUUGUGACUGGACGAGCGGACCGCACCGUGUGAGUCAGCCUGUUGUGGAAGCGUCUGAGAGUCAUUGCUCUGACUGUGCUGACGAAGCACAGAGAAGAAGGAAGGCCUGACCCCUGCCAGCCCGGAUGUUCCCUGAGGGCCUCUUGCUCUUCUCCACACUGUGGCCAGAGGCCUCUGUCACAGGCAUUAAUCUGGGCUUGUCUGUGUCCUGCCUAACAGCUUCAGGAGGAAGUCACCCUGUGCCCCAGCGCCGAGGCCUGCCCUCUGGAACUUGUCUCUUUGAGGUCCUCACCACGCCUCCAGCCCUGGGCUGGGCCAGGACACCCGGCUCUGUAUUCUCACAGCUCUUGCUCCCCUGACCUUAACACUCAUCCCAGCUGGAGGUUGGAGGUCGUGACUCCUCCUUUGCUGUCUUUCCCAGUGGAGUGUAGGCCCCUCCACAGCGGGGGCCAAGCUGUAGGCUGUGCAGAGCCCACGGCGGGCCCACCGGCAUUUGAUGAUGACAGGAAGCGCUCCUCACAUUCCACUGUAACUGCACGUCUUUCUUUGAGGGCAGACCUGCAGUUGGUUCAUUUCUAUAUCCUCAGCUUUUACUCUGAUCAAAGACCUGGCUCCACAUUCCAAAGGUGUGUGGGCUCUGAUUUCAGUGACCAGGUAGGCCUUUCCGUGACCUGGCCGGGAACGGGCUCCAAGGUCCAUCGCCCACGCUCCACAUGCGGUGUGGGGAGCACAGCAAGGUCUCCUACCCUGAGGGAAGGAAAGGGUUACAGCACUCACCUCUCAGGGCCCUCCCACUCCACCCCCUGCGACAGGUGAGACAGAUGAGGGUAGUGGGUGUGGUCCCAGCAGCCCUGGGGCCCCAAGGAGCCGGGCCUCUCCUUCCAGGUUUAGAUCUGGAACAGGGCCAUGGUUUUGUCCACAGUUCCAACAGGUGUAAUGGCAAUGUCAGGGGGUCACAGUGAGUGUCCUGGCUCCCCCGGCUGUGUUGAGACACAGAGCCAUGAGGCCCCCUUCUUCACAGGUCUCAUGGGUGUCGUGGUUCCUCCCUGAGGCAGCCAGGGGCUGGGCUGCUUGAACAUCAAUCCUUUCAAAUCAUAUCAUUAAAAUCUACUCCCACACCUGUAUUUCAAAGAUAACAUUUGUGCCUGAAAUUGCCACAACUACAUUAUGGCAAAGUCACAUCAUCUGGCUCAUAAUUUAAGGCUUAGAGGCUUCAACUAAUGUAGGUGACAGUCUGGUGGCCAAAAGGAGAAAGUCUGAUUACCAAGUGGCAUUUGCUGGGAGGUCUGGGUCCCCUCCAGCACCUCACGCACAUGUGCAUAAGAGGCACUCAGUGAGUGUUUGUGGAAUCUAUGAAUGAUAUGACGUUUCUAUCCUGAGUCUCAGGGUCUUUUUCUAUUCAGAAAUCUGUCCCCAGACCAGCCGGGUGGCUCAAUGGUUAAGUUCAGGGGCUCCACUUCAGCAGCCCGGGGUUCACAGGUUUGGCUCCUGGGCAUAGACCUAGCACCACUCGUUAAGCCACGCUGUGGAGGCAUCCCACAUAAAAUAGAGGAAGAUUGGUGCAGAUGUCAGCUCAGCAACAAUCUCCCUCACAAAAAAAAAAGAAAAGAAAUCUAUCCCCAAUUAUCACACACACUCACCACAGAGCAGGUCUUUGCUCACUGAAGGGAAGCAGGGCGUUGGCCCC
RNAcentral lists this long non-coding RNA (1993 nucleotides) under Equus caballus (horse). RNAcentral describes it as "lncRNA (ENSECAG00000059108.1)". Lineage: Eukaryota; Metazoa; Chordata; Mammalia; Perissodactyla; Equidae. The record is from RNAcentral.